GAAGCCCACAUUCUGGAAUCCCAAUCCUCUGUUCUAGAACUUGGGUGUGGCCGUGGUCUAGAGCCACCCAUGGGAGAGGCGCCCCAGGAACCUCCAGACAUGUAAAUGCAGACCCUCAAGAGUAAUCUAUGCCUUUGCCUCUAUCCCAAGGGUUAACCUUAUUUACAAGCAAAGUUUAAAAGUGGACAGUUGGGAAAUGGUGCCGCGGUGAAGGCCGGAUGCUGUGUAGAGGCCGAGAGAUUGAGCUGCCCCAGGAACUUUGACCAGCACCUGGGGCCAAGCGCAGAAUGUGCACAACCCAGUGUGCAGCCAGCACAACGGCCCCCUUUCCAAGGUGUGCGGCGGCAUGCUGAGGCAUCCCUGGCAUUCACCAUGAGCCAGGAGUCAUAUAAAGGAUUUAUAAAGUAGGAAAGGAUGUAAGGAUGCAGUGUCUUACUUCAAAUGUCUUCAGGGUCCCUGGUCCUUCUGUUCUCAUCACUGGACGUGCUUUACUAGAUUACAAACAGACUCGGAGUUCUUUUCCAUGCAUUGAAGACACAA
Long non-coding RNA from Suricata suricatta (meerkat), 540 nucleotides. RefSeq lists it as uncharacterized. NCBI's taxonomy places the organism in Eukaryota, Metazoa, Chordata, Mammalia, Carnivora, Herpestidae. The transcript has 3 exons. The record is from RefSeq and is a predicted model, not a curated record.